RNAcentral lists this ribosomal RNA (502 nucleotides) under uncultured bacterium. RNAcentral's name for it is "partial 16S ribosomal RNA". It matches the Rfam family "Bacterial small subunit ribosomal RNA", at positions 28 to 507 of the family's 1533-position model. The record is from RNAcentral.
GACGAACGCUGGCGGCGUGCCUAAUACAUGCAAGUCGAACGAACCGCGACUAAGUGCUUGCACUAAGUCAAGGUGAGUGGCGAACGGGUGAGUAACACGUGGGUAACCUACCUCAUAGUGGGGGAUAACAGUCGGAAACGACUGCUAAUACCGCAUAGGACAUAGGAUCACAUGAUCCAGUGAGGAAAGGUGGCGCAAGCUAUCGCUAAGAGAUGGACCCGCGGUGCAUUAGCUAGUUGGUAGGGUAAAGGCCUACCAAGGCGAUGAUGCAUAGCCGACCUGAGAGGGUGAUCGGCCACAUUGGGACUGAGACACGGCCCAAACUCCUACGGGAGACAGCAGUAGGGAAUCUUCCGCAAUGGACGCAAGUCUGACGGAGCAACGCCGCGUGAGUGAAGAAGGUCUUCGGAUCGUAAAGCUCUGUUGUUAGAGAAGAACAGCGCAUAGAGUAACUGCUAUGCGUGUGACGGUAUCUAACCAGAAAGCCACGGCUAACUACGUG